RNAcentral lists this ribosomal RNA (274 nucleotides) under uncultured bacterium. Its description in RNAcentral is "partial 16S ribosomal RNA". It matches the Rfam family "Bacterial small subunit ribosomal RNA", at positions 523 to 796 of the family's 1533-position model. The record is from RNAcentral.
AUACGGAGGGUGCAAGCGUUGUUCGGAAUCACUGGGCGUAAAGGGCGCGCAGGCGGUUUGGUAAGUCAGAUGUGAAAGCCCAUGGCUCAACUAUGGAAGUGCAUUUGAAACUGUCAGACUUGAGUACUAGAGGGGAAAGUGGAAUUCCCGGUGUAGAGGUGAAAUUCGUAGAUAUCGGGAGGAAUACCGGUGGCGAAGGCGACUUUCUGGCUGAAUUCUGACGCUGAGGCGCGAAAGCGUGGGGAGCAAACAGGAUUAGAAACCCCAGUAGUCC